GGUUAAGCGACUAAGCGUACACGGUGGAUGCCCUGGCAGUCAGAGGCGAUGAAGGACGUGCUAAUCUGCGAAAAGCGUCGGUAAGGUGAUAUGAACCGUUAUAACCGGCGAUGUCCGAAUGGGGAAACCCAGUGCAAUUCGUUGCACUAUCGUUAACUGAAUACAUAGGUUAACGAGGCGAACCGGGGGAACUGAAACAUCUAAGUACCCCGAGGAAAAGAAAUCAACCGAGAUUCCCCCAGUAGCGGCGAGCGAACGGGGAGCAGCCCAGAGUCUGAAUCAGCUUGUGUGUUAGUGGAACGGUCUGGAAAGUCCGACGGUACAGGGUGAUAGUCCCGUACACCAAAAUGCACAGGUUGUGAACUCGAAGAGUAGGGCGGGACACGUGGUAUCCUGUCUGAAUAUGGGGGGACCAUCCUCCAAGGCUAAAUACUCCUGACUGACCGAUAGUGAACCAGUACCGUGAGGGAAAGGCGAAAAGAACCCCGGCGAGGGGAGUGAAAAAGAACCUGAAACCGUGUACGUACAAGCAGUGGGAGCACCUUUAUGGUGUGACUGCGUACCUUUUGUAUAAUGGGUCAGCGACUUAUAUUCUGUAGCAAGGUUAACCGUAUAGGGGAGCCGCAGGGAAACCGAGUCUUAACUGGGCGUUAAGUUGCAGGGUAUAGACCCGAAACCCGGUGAUCUAGCCAUGGGCAGGUUGAAGGUUGGGUAACACUAACUGGAGGACCGAACCGACUAAUGUUGAAAAAUUAGCGGAUGACUUGUGGCUGGGGGUGAAAGGCCAAUCAAACCGGGAGAUAGCUGGUUCUCCCCGAAAGCUAUUUAGGUAGCGCCUCGUGAAUUCAUCUUCGGGGGUAGAGCACUGUUUCGGCUAGGGGGUCAUCCCGACUUACCAACCCGAUGCAAACUACGAAUACCGAAGAAUGUUAUCACGGGAGACACACGGCGGGUGCUAACGUCCGUCGUGAAGAGGGAAACAACCCAGACCGCCAGCUAAGGUCCCAAAGUCAUGGUUAAGUGGGAAACGAUGUGGGAAGGCACAGACAGCCAGGAUGUUGGCUUAGAAGCAGCCAUCAUUUAAAGAAAGCGUAAUAGCUCACUGGUCGAGUCGGCCUGCGCGGAAGAUGUAACGGGGCUAAACCAUGCACCGAAGCUGCGGCAGCGACACUAUGUGUUGUUGGGUAGGGGAGCGUUCUGUAAGCCUGCGAAGGUGGCCUGUGAGGGCUGCUGGAGGUAUCAGAAGUGCGAAUGCUGACAUAAGUAACGAUAAAGCGGGUGAAAAGCCCGCUCGCCGGAAGACCAAGGGUUCCUGUCCAACGUUAAUCGGGGCAGGGUGAGUCGACCCCUAAGGCGAGGCCGAAAGGCGUAGUCGAUGGGAAACAGGUUAAUAUUCCUGUACUUGGUGUUACUGCGAAGGGGGGACGGAGAAGGCUAUGUUAGCCGGGCGACGGUUGUCCCGGUUUAAGCAUGUAGGCGGAGGUUCCAGGUAAAUCCGGUACCUUUUAACGCUGAGGUGUGAUGACGAGGCACUACGGUGCUGAAGUAACAAAUGCCCUGCUUCCAGGAAAAGCCUCUAAGCAUCAGGUAACAUUAAAUCGUACCCCAAACCGACACAGGUGGUCAGGUAGAGAAUACCAAGGCGCUUGAGAGAACUCGGGUGAAGGAACUAGGCAAAAUGGUGCCGUAACUUCGGGAGAAGGCACGCUGGUGUGUAGGUGAAGUCCCUGCGGA
This 1734-nucleotide ribosomal RNA is filed under the name Klebsiella variicola. Its description in RNAcentral is "partial 23S ribosomal RNA". It matches the Rfam family "Bacterial large subunit ribosomal RNA", at positions 1 to 1780 of the family's 2925-position model. The record is from RNAcentral. Lineage: Bacteria; Pseudomonadati; Pseudomonadota; Gammaproteobacteria; Enterobacterales; Enterobacteriaceae.